GACGAACGCUGGCGGCGUGCUUAACACAUGCAAGUCGAACGUGAUUUUUGUGGAAAUUCUUUCGUGAAUGGAAAUGAAAUGAAAGUGGCGAACGGGUGAGUAACACGUGAGCAACCUACCUUACACAGGGGGAUAGCCGUUGGAAACGACGAUUAAUACCGCAUGAGACCACAGAAUCGCAUGAUAUAGGGGUCAAAGAUUUAUCGGUGUAAGAAGGGCUCGCGUCUGAUUAGCUAGUUGGAAGGGUAAAGGCCUACCAAGGCGACGAUCAGUAGCCGGUCUGAGAGGAUGAACGGCCACAUUGGAACUGAGACACGGUCCAAACUCCUACGGGAGGCAGCAGUGGGGAAUAUUGCACAAUGGGGGGAACCCUGAUGCAGCGACGCCGCGUGAGCGAAGAAGGUUUUCGAAUCGUAAAGCUCUGUCCUAUGAGAAGAUAAUGACGGUAUCAUAGGGGGAAGCCCCGGCUAAAUACGUGCCAGCAGCCGCGGUAAUACGUAUGGGGCGAGCGUUGUCCGGAAUUAUUGGGCGUAAAGGGUACGUAGGCGGUUUUUUAAGUCCGGUGUGAAAGCGUGAGGCUUAACCUCAUUAAGCACUUGAAACUGGAAGACUUGAGUGAAGGAGAGGAAAGUGGAAUUCCUAGUGUAGCGGUGAAAUGCGUAGAUAUUAGGAGGAAUACCGGUGGCGAAGGCGACUUUCUGGACUUUUACUGACGCUCAGGUACGAAAGCGUGGGGAGCAAACAGG
This 746-nucleotide ribosomal RNA is filed under the name uncultured Parvimonas sp. RNAcentral's name for it is "bacterial SSU rRNA". It matches the Rfam family "Bacterial small subunit ribosomal RNA", at positions 28 to 776 of the family's 1533-position model. The record is from RNAcentral. Lineage: Bacteria; Bacillati; Bacillota; Tissierellia; Tissierellales; Peptoniphilaceae.